UAAGAACACGAGGCUGGCGCCGUCGCCUUUUUCUUUUGCCUUCUCUUUCUGCUUUUACGGUUUACGGUAAGCGGUCUCAACUCCAAAAUAUCGAAUCUCUGUUUCUCUUUCUCUCGAUUCGAAUCCAGGUCCACCCAAUACCCAAUCGGCUCCUCUACGGUUCUCUGCAGAUAGGGUUUACUGGAUUUGGAUGGGUACGGAGAGGAAGAGAAAAGUGAGCUUGUUUGACGUGGUGGACGAGACUUCGAUCUCCGGGAAGAUAUCGAAAAUGAACGGCGCUGGUGGAACGCCGAUGAACAACAACGGAAACAACAACAAUUUGAUAAAUCGGUGGACUGGGAAGCCUUAUUCACAGCGAUACUAUGAAAUAUUGGAGAAGAGGAGGACUCUGCCCGUUUGGCACCAAAUGGAGGAUUUCUUGACGGCUUUGAAGAAAAACCAGGUCCUUGUUCUUGUCGGUGAGACUGGUAGUGGAAAAACUACUCAGAUUCCUCAGUUUGUUUUGGAAGCUGUUGACAUAGAAACACCUGAUAAACGUAGGAAGAUGAUGAUUGGAUGCACUCAGCCUCGUAGAGUGGCUGCAAUGUCUGUUUCUCGACGUGUGGCGGAGGAGAUGGAUGUGAAUAUUGGUGAAGAGGUCGGUUAUAGCAUCCGUUUUGAGGACUGUAGCAGUGCAAGAACAGUUUUGAAGUAUUUAACUGAUGGUAUGCUUUUAAGAGAGGCAAUGACUGAUCCUCUUUUGGAAAGAUACAAAGUCAUAAUUCUUGAUGAAGCUCAUGAAAGAACUUUGGCAACAGAUGUGUUAUUUGGACUUCUUAAAGAAGUUCUAAGAAAUAGACAUGAUUUGAAGCUAGUUGUGAUGAGUGCAACACUAGAGGCGGAGAAGUUUCAGGGUUAUUUUAAUGAUGCACCUCUGAUGAGAGUUCCUGGUAGACUUCAUCCAGUGGAGAUUUUCUAUACCCAGGAACCUGAAAGGGAUUACCUUGAGGCAGCAAUUCGUACAGUUGUUCAGAUACAUAUGUAUGAACCUACUGGGGACAUACUUGUUUUCCUCACAGGUGAGGAGGAGAUAGAAGAUGCAUGCCGGAAAAUAACAAAAGAGAUCGGAAAUUUGGGGGACCAGGUGGGGCCAGUGAAAGCAGUGCCUUUGUAUUCAACUCUUCCACCUGCCAUGCAGCAGAAAAUUUUUGAAUCUGCACCACCCCCAUUGACAGAAGGUGGCCCUGCUGGAAGGAAGAUUGUGGUUUCAACAAACAUAGCAGAAACUUCUUUGACCAUAGACGGCAUUGUUUAUGUUAUUGACCCAGGCUUUGCUAAGCAAAAGGUUUAUAACCCACGAGUGCGUGUUGAAUCCUUGUUGGUUUCCCCAAUAUCAAAGGCAAGUGCUCAUCAGAGGUCUGGCCGUGCUGGAAGAACUCAGCCUGGCAAAUGUUUCAGACUUUACACAGAGAAAAGUUUUAAUCAAGAUCUUCAGCCACAGACGUAUCCUGAAAUAUUGCGAUCAAACCUUGCAAAUGCAGUUCUAACACUGAAGAAACUUGGAAUUGAUGAUCUGGUUCAUUUUGAUUUUAUGGACCCGCCUGCUCCUGAGACAUUGAUGCGGGCAUUAGAGAUGCUAAAUUACCUGGGAGCAUUGGAUGAUGAUGGAAACUUGACAAAGCUUGGGGAAAUCAUGAGUGAGUUUCCUUUGGAUCCUCAGAUGGCAAAGAUGCUGGUGGUUAGUCCCGAAUUCAACUGCUCAAAUGAGAUUUUGUCAAUUUCUGCAAUGCUUUCAGGUACUGCCAGUUGCUAUCUUUUUUCUUUAUAUUUGUCUCGAGUCUGGUCUAAAUAAUAAGUUGAUGCCAUGGGGUUGCAUUAUCAUUCAAUGCAUCCUUUCAUAUAUGGUAUGUGCACAGUGCUUUUUUUCUGUGCAUUUGUUGGUUUUUUGACUGCUUACAUGUGUAUGCAAGCAUAUGCAUGCAUGCAGUUGAAGAAUUGGUGUGUCCGAUUAGGUUGUCAUCAGCCAGUGUCUUGUAUGGGUUCCAUGCCCCCGGUUGGCAUGCACCAUCAGAUUCUAAGUAAGUGCUGAUGCUGAUAGUUGCAGUUUCUCAGUAUUAUCUCAUGAAGCAAAUGGUGUCGUCUCGCCUGUAUGCAUCUGCUGACCUACAAUGGGCCUCUUCUGUGAUAACCAAAUUCUUUCUUUAGUACCCAAUUGCUUUGUCCGCCCUAGGGAGGCUCAAAAGGCUGCUGACGAAGCAAAAGCUAGGUUUGGUCACAUAGAUGGGGAUCACCUGACGCUGUUGAAUGUGUACCAUGCAUACAAGCAGAACAAUGAGGAUUCAUCUUGGUGCUAUGAAAAUUUUAUCAACCAUCGAGCUCUCAAGGCUGCUGAUAAUGUAAGACAACAGCUUGUACGCAUCACGAUGAGGUUUAACCUUAAGUUAUGCAGCACCGACUUCAACAGCCGCGACUACUAUGUCAACAUAAGAAAGGCUAUGCUAGCUGGAUAUUUUAUGCAGGUUGCUCACCUGGAACGCACUGGGCACUACCUUACAGUGAAAGACAAUCAAGUAUGUUAAUUUGUUUCAAUUCAUCCUUUUUUGUUGCUAACAAGCUAGACUGGGAUGGAGCCUGGAGGUUUAGUUGUUUAGAUUUGAUCCUUUUUGUUACUUUCUACAAUUUUCAUAGAGGAUUUGGGAGAAAUAUGAAAUUUAUUUACUCUUUUGGUAUUACAUUUUUUCCAGUGAUGCACUGUAAUAGUUUGGUUAUAUGAGGGAGGAGCAUAAAGUGACAUCAUCUCUUGAUAAUUUAUUCUGCAGGUGGUGCAUUUGCAUCCUUCAAAUUGUCUGGACCACAAGCCAGAGUGGGUUAUUUAUAAUGAGUAUGUCCUAACAAGCCGGAAUUUUAUUCGGACGGUGACAGAUAUUCGCGGUGAAUGGUUAGUCUCUGUUUCCUGUUGGCUGCUUCUUUUUAUUUUUUUGUUUCUUUUUUGGGUGGGAAGGAUGUGUGUGAUAAUGCUCUUUGAAUUUUUUCGCAUUUGCACUCAGAUUGCUGGGUAGAGUCUGUGAUUAAAUGUCUUUCAUGUACAGGCUAGUAGACAUAGCACCACACUACUAUGAUCUAGACAACUUUCCAAAUUGUGAGGCCAAGCGAGUUCUGGAGAAGCUUUAUAGAAAGCGGGAGAGAGAGAAGGAAGAGAGCAAGAACAGAAAGUGAGAUAUGCACUAUAUGAAUCUUUCGAAUUAUCCAAUAUUUCUUCCUCAGGGGCGAAGUGAGAAGGUGCUUGUGAAAACUUAGAUGACAAAGGGUCCGCUCAGUGGUUUCCGUUCAGCUGGCCAAGCUCCCUGUACUUGUUAGAAUAGUAGGUUUAGCUGUCAUCAUUUUCUAUUGUACCUUCAGCAUUCAACAUUUAUUUCAUUGCUAUUCAAAGCUCAGUUGAACAUUUGAAAAAAGAACAGGUUUGAAUGUGGGCGAUCUUUCUCUUCUUUCCUCUUUUGUCUUUUUCUUCCACUUAGAUAGUAAAUGCCUGAUUGGCUACCAUGCAGUCCUUGUUAAAAUCCCCUAGCUAUGUGGUAAUGGUGUGUAGAUUGUUGUUACAUUGUCAGAUAUGAGAUUCAUCGUUAUGGACAGAAUGCUAUAUUAAGUAUUAACCAGUCUUGGAAAUUGAAUUCUCAAGUAAAUAGGUUCUUCCUUCAAAAACGCUUUGUUUUAGGCACUUAUGGCACAAUGGAAGAUACAGGAAAUGACUCAAAUGGGAGAGAGAGGAGAAGAUAAUGCAGAGCUUGCACAAUUAUAUCCUUUUGAACGCCGGUGAGGUUUUUGAGAUUGGCCGUUGAGAAGGUGUGGAUGUGGCGGGAAUAUUUUAGAUGACGGCCUUUCUCAAACGUUCCCAUGUUGAGCUCCUCGGCUUAAUGCUACUGCGCCGUCUGGGUGCCCUUGCGAAGUAUGCGUUGGAAUGUGGUCAAUGAACAGCUAUUACGCUCAUAAACAAACCAUUUAAUCAAAGAAGUUACCGGCGGUGUAAUUCGUACAACUGUCAGUACGCAAAGGAUUUGUUUUUUCUUUUAUCUGUUUUAUAAAAAAUCAAGUAUCAAUUUCAUUAAUAAACAAAUAUCUCUCAUUUUUUCAAUUAUUUAAAAUAUAAAUUUUU
RNAcentral lists this unclassified non-coding RNA (4129 nucleotides) under Hevea brasiliensis (rubber tree). The record is from RNAcentral. Lineage: Eukaryota; Viridiplantae; Streptophyta; Magnoliopsida; Malpighiales; Euphorbiaceae.